ACACUCCUACGGGAGGCAGCAGUGGGGAAUUUUGGACAAUGGGCGAAAGCCUGAUCCAGCAAUGCCGCGUGAGUGAAGAAGGCCUUCGGGUUGUAAAGCUCUUUUGUCAGGGAAGAAACGGUGAAAGCUAAUAUCUUUUGCUAAUGACGGUACCUGAAGAAUAAGCACCGGCUAACUACGUGCCAGCAGCCGCGGUAAUACGUAGGGUGCAAGCGUUAAUCGGAAUUACUGGGCGUAAAGCGUGCGCAGGCGGUUUUGUAAGUCUGAUGUGAAAUCCCCGGGCUCAACCUGGGAAUUGCAUUGGAGACUGCAAGGCUAGAAUCUGGCAGAGUGGGGUAGAAUUCCACGUGUAGCAGUGAAAUGCGUAGAUAUGUGGAGGAACACCGAUGGCGAAGGCAGCCCCCUGGGUCAAGAUUGACGCUCAUGCACGAAAGCGUGGGGAGCAAACAGGAUUAGAAACCCUAGUAGUCCC
Molecule: ribosomal RNA, 472 nt
Filed under: uncultured organism
Description: partial 16S ribosomal RNA
Rfam family: Bacterial small subunit ribosomal RNA
Source: RNAcentral